RNAcentral lists this ribosomal RNA (1482 nucleotides) under uncultured prokaryote. Its description in RNAcentral is "partial 16S ribosomal RNA". It matches the Rfam family "Bacterial small subunit ribosomal RNA". The record is from RNAcentral.
AGAGUUUGAUCCUGGCUCAGGAUGAACGCUAGCGGCAGGCCUAAAACAUGCAAGUCGCGGGGGAACGAUGUCUUCGGACAGGCGACGACCGGCGCGCGCACGGGUGAGUAACGCGUAUACAACCUACCUUUAACAGGAGGAUAGCCCCGAGAAAUCGGGAUUAAUACUCCAUAACAUCGUUUUACCGCAUGGUAUUUCGAUUAAAACUCCGGUGGUUAAAGAUGGGUAUGCGUGACAUUAGUUUGUUGGUGAGGUAACGGCUCACCAAGACUACGAUGUCUAGGGGUUCUGAGAGGAUGAUCCCCCACACUGGUACUGAGACACGGACCAGACUCCUACGGGAGGCAGCAGUGAGGAAUAUUGGUCAAUGGACGCAAGUCUGAACCAGCCAUGCCGCGUGCAGGAUGACGGCCCUAUGGGUUGUAAACUGCUUUUAUGUAGGAAGAAACCCCCUGACGUGUCAGGGGCUGACGGUACUACAAGAAUAAGCACCGGCUAACUCCGUGCCAGCAGCCGCGGUAAUACGGAGGGUGCAAGCGUUAUCCGGAUUUAUUGGGUUUAAAGGGUUCGCAGGCGGAAAAUUAAGUCAGUGGUGAAAGCCUACAGCUCAACUGUAGAACUGCCAUUGAUACUGAUUUUCUUGAGUAUAGUUGAAGUGGGCGGAAUGUGUCAUGUAGCGGUGAAAUGCAUAGAUAUGACACAGAACACCGAUAGUGAAGACAGCUCACUAAACUAUUACUGACGCUCAGGAACGAAAGCGUGGGGAGCGAACAGGAUUAGAUACCCUGGUAGUCCACGCCGUAAACGAUGAUUACUCGUUAUUGGCGAUACAAUGUCAGUGACUAAGCGAAAGUGAUAAGUAAUCCACCUGGGGAGUACGAUCGCAAGAUUGAAACUCAAAGGAAUUGACGGGGGCCCGCACAAGCGGUGGAGCAUGUGGUUUAAUUCGAUGAUACGCGAGGAACCUUACCAGGGCUUAAAUGCAGAACGACAGUCACCGAAAGGUCUUUUCUUCGGAACUAUUUACACGGUGCUGCAUGGUUGUCGUCAGCUCGUGCCGUGAGGUGUCGGGUUAAGUCCCAUAACGAGCGCAACCCUUAUCCUUAGUUGCCAGCGGGUCAUGCCGGGGACUCUAAGGAGACUGCCAGUGUAAACUGUGAGGAAGGUGGGGAUGACGUCAAAUCAGCACGGCCCUUAUGUCCAGGGCUACACACGUGUUACAAUGGCCGAUACAAAGGGCAGCUACCAGGUGACUGGAUGCUAAUCUCUAAAGUCGGUCUCAGUUCGGAUCGAAGUCUGCAACUCGACUUCGUGAAGUUGGAUUCGCUAGUAAUCGUAUAUCAGCAAUGAUACGGUGAAUACGUUCCCGGGCCUUGUACACACCGCCCGUCAAACCAUGGAAGCUGGGGGUACCUGAAGUUCGUAACCGUAAGGAGCGGCCUAGGGUAAAUCUAGUGACUGGGGUUAAGUCGUAACAAGGUA